RNAcentral lists this long non-coding RNA (1004 nucleotides) under Oryctolagus cuniculus (rabbit). RNAcentral describes it as "lncRNA (ENSOCUG00000039465.1)". Lineage: Eukaryota; Metazoa; Chordata; Mammalia; Lagomorpha; Leporidae. The record is from RNAcentral.
AGCUAUUUCACACAGAUAACUCUCAUGAGGGAGACCAGGAUUGAGUUCCUUAUGAUCAGCUAUGUUCUUGGCCAGCUCCAGCCAUUGCAAGCAUUUUGGGAGUGAAGAAGCAGAUGGGAGUUUUCUCUCUCUCCCUCUGCCUCUAAGUAAGUUAUAUAACAUUUUUAAAAAUAAUUUUUAGGCUUAAUUAUAAAUCAAGAACAGCUGAAUAGGAAAAUACAAAGCAGCUAGAACAGAGUCAAAAUACUCAAACAAUCUGAGCAGAUGAAACAAAUCUGAAGUUAUAUUUGUCAUAUCCUGGUAAUUUCGAGAGAAGGGAUUUAACAGAGGUAGAUGUAAUCAAAAUUUCACCUUGGAAACCACUGCACGCUCUUCUCUUCAGCCUUCUAGUGUUCAGUUCUGAACAUUUAUUGCAGUUGUAUGCUGAAAGAGCUUCAAGCUGGGCCAGACUGCCUGGGAGAACUGAACAUGGACAGGAAAGAGUUGUUGGAGUUCCUUACUCUGCCAUUUUCACUGAAAAUCCAACAGGAGUUAAUCAUAAAGAAAGAAGAAGAGAACUCAACCAAGGUAAAUUCAUUAGCCCACAUAUAUGCAUGGAUGUAACAAUUAACAUACACUAUACUAAAUAAUGAAACUAUUCCUCUGAGAGAAACAAUGGGAUUUCUGAGGGGUAACUGAGAUAGUCUGAUGCUUACCAGUGAUUGAAGGUUUUGAAAGCCAAAUGAGCAGCCUGGUCCCUGGUUUAUAAGAAUUCCACUCAAGCAAUUCCAACAUGAAACAAUAGAUCCCAAAUCUAAUCCUCCCAAAUUUAGUGAAUUAAAUUCACUACUAGAAUCUGUUGUUUCUUCCAAUCAACUCAAAAUGGAACAAAUAUCUAAAUAUAAAUCCUGAGACUGCUAAACAUUUAGUGUAAAACAUAAGAGAACACUCAAGAUUUAGGCAUAGAGUACAAUAUUUUUGACAAUCCCUCAAAAACAGCCAUAAUAAAAUUAAAAAAAAAAACA